GCGAAAGUAGCUUAAUUGGUAAAGCUUAAUCUUGCCAAGAUUAAUAUUACGGGUUCGAAUCCCGUCUUUCGCU
Molecule: transfer RNA, 73 nt
Filed under: Synarthrophyton chejuense
Lineage: Eukaryota; Rhodophyta; Florideophyceae; Hapalidiales; Hapalidiaceae
Description: tRNA-Gly
Rfam family: tRNA
About the family: Transfer RNA (tRNA) molecules are approximately 80 nucleotides in length. Their secondary structure includes four short double-helical elements and three loops (D, anti-codon, and T loops).
Source: RNAcentral